This 254-nucleotide long non-coding RNA is filed under the name Homo sapiens (human). RNAcentral describes it as "PREDICTED lncRNA (TCONS_00233079)". The record is from RNAcentral. Lineage: Eukaryota; Metazoa; Chordata; Mammalia; Primates; Hominidae.
AGAGAAAGAGAGAGCACAGAGGUAUACAGCAUGUGAAACUUUGGACUGCUCAAAGAAGACAUUUUCAAACAUAUCUUUUCAGGACUGUCAAUAGGAACCGUAAGUGAGUUUCAGGUUCGCUCAUCUAAUUGUAGCAGUUAACUGACUGACAAGGUGAAGAAGGAUUGUGGUUUUCUGUUUCAGAUGGAAAAACUAAAAACAUAAGAGAAUCUCACAAUUAUCCACAUAUGCCCCAAAAGUUCAUACUACAGAAG